Molecule: non-coding RNA, 73 nt
Organism: Aedes albopictus (Asian tiger mosquito)
Lineage: Eukaryota; Metazoa; Arthropoda; Insecta; Diptera; Culicidae
Source: Rfam
UGUUCUGUGACUUAGUUGGUUAAAGCGCCGGACAAGCAAUACGAAGUUGUGGGUUUCAAUCCCACCAAAACAA